CAACUAGACCACCCUCAACAUUUAUGAUUUUGACUGACCGUCCCGUGACAAAGAAUUUAAUGAUUGAUAUUCAAAAUCUAAGUUCAAAUCUAAAUUGAUUAUAUUUUUAUCUAAAUUUAUUUCUAAAUCAAAUAAAUGAAGCGUAUAGCGUACUACUUAUCUCUCAAAAAAAAAAAAACAAUUUUGGAACAAAUACAUUAAUCUAUUUUAAGCUCACAUUCCUCCGCUACUCUCUCUCUCCUU
This 243-nucleotide long non-coding RNA is filed under the name Ananas comosus (pineapple). Its description in RNAcentral is "long non-coding RNA (ACOM_LNC008037)". Lineage: Eukaryota; Viridiplantae; Streptophyta; Magnoliopsida; Poales; Bromeliaceae. The record is from RNAcentral.